GUUGUAAAAGAAAAAGUUAUCAACUAAGUGGUCGAACUCUUCGUAAACUACCAUUCCUUGCACAUGCGCUGUAUUCGAAAGCACAAACGAUAACCUCAGAAGAGUUUUUGAAUAAUCUUUCAAUGAUUGUUGACAAGCAGUUCAAAGAAAAAGAGAAUCUUUGCUCAGUUGGUGAAGAAAAAAGCGUGCAAGCGUGAUCUUUUUAACGAUUGUAUACUUUUUAUACAUUCAUAGAAAUCUUUUGGAUAUGCUUUGUUGAAGAUUAAGAUUUUUUUAUUGCUCAAUUUAAGUCAAUUUGGUAAGAUAGAUCACAAAGUUUGCUAAUUUAUAUUGGUACUUUGAGACUCCUUACAUGACGUUUCCCCAACACACCCGAGGUCAAAUGCAGCAAUGUGUAUAGUUCGUUAUUGAGGAAAAUGUGUAGAUUAUUUUAAAUAGGGAAGGAUAUUUAUACGAUAUAGUUAAUUGCAACUGUUUAAUUUCAACGUAUGUUUACAUUAAAUUACAUCCUUAAGCCAACUUUACUAAUAUUGAUCGCUAUUUUCAUGUUAUACAUCUAUAAUCAUCUUGUUAAAGA
This is a long non-coding RNA of Xenia sp. Carnegie-2017, 577 nucleotides long. RefSeq lists it as uncharacterized. The transcript has 3 exons. NCBI's taxonomy places the organism in Eukaryota, Metazoa, Cnidaria, Anthozoa, Malacalcyonacea, Xeniidae. The record is from RefSeq and is a predicted model, not a curated record.